GACGAACGCUGGCGGCGUGCUUAACACAUGCAAGUCGAACGGAAAGGCCCUGCUUUUGUGGGGUGCUCGAGUGGCGAACGGGUGAGUAACACGUGAGUAACCUGCCCUUGACUUUGGGAUAACUUCAGGAAACUGGGGCUAAUACCGGAUAGGAGCUCCUGCUGCAUGGUGGGGGUUGGAAAGUUUCGGCGGUUGGGGAUGGACUCGCGGCUUAUCAGCUUGUUGGUGGGGUAGUGGCUUACCAAGGCUUUGACGGGUAGCCGGCCUGAGAGGGUGACCGGCCAGAUUGGGACUGAGAUACGGCCCAGACUCCUACGGGAGGCAGCAGUGGGGAAUAUUGCACAAGGGGCGGAAGCCUGAUGCAGCAACGCCGCGUGCGGGAUGACGGCCUUCGGGUUGUAAACCGCUUUCGCCUGUGACGAAGCGUGAGUGACGGUAAUGGGUAAAGAAGCACCGGCUAACUACGU
Molecule: ribosomal RNA, 467 nt
Filed under: uncultured bacterium
Lineage: Bacteria
Description: partial 16S ribosomal RNA
Rfam family: Bacterial small subunit ribosomal RNA
Source: RNAcentral